CUUCUGGAAGCAAGAUGCUUGAAUGCAAAGAAACCGAGUGCCUAUGAUGAGGGUUUCAGGCAGGUCUGUGAGAGAUAGUUUGUGGGGGUGGUGGGGACUUUCUUCAGAUCACACCAUCUGGACAAGCAUCUGCCUCUCCCCUUCUCUCUAAAGUAGCCCAGAGAGCUGCGGGCUGGGAAGGGGGCAAGGGCAAGACUCAGCCAAGGAGGCAGGGUGGGGGAUGGCUGUGUUUGUGACUCGUGCACUACCUUGCCUCCGAAUGGGUUAUUAGCUGCAUUUAGGGUUGCACCGCCCACGUGUGGUCCCAGGUGCAACAGGCUUGAAAGGAGCUGGACCUGGGCCACAUCAGAGGUGGGGCUGGAGGUUGGCAACCCCAGGGUGGGACCUCCCUCCCCCAGUGGAAUCUUGACUCUCAAGACUUAAGAGCUGGGAGGCACCUCAGAGGCUCAGCCAGCAUAUGUCAGUGCACAAAAGAGGUUCAUGAAAGGAAACAGCUGCACCGAUACCAGCAGGAGCUGCUGCAGCUACAGAUUUGAGGCGUGCACCUGCAUGGGGUUGGGUGACAAGGGAUUUGUCAGGGAAGGGAGUAUCAUGGAAUACCAGGACUCUAAAGCCAGAGGGAUGGAUGGCUCCAGGGUGGCAAAUUGGAUACCCCACUGCUCACCUGGAGGUCAUGGGAUCACACCUGACUUGAAUUAGUCAAAAGGAUUCCAGGAUGAGGGUUAGUUGGUCGUUUAUGAAUGAAAUGAUUAGCUGGAUGUAACAGUUCCUAAUAAACAGAUUGUCCAUAUCAA
Molecule: long non-coding RNA, 794 nt
Organism: Herpailurus yagouaroundi (jaguarundi)
Lineage: Eukaryota; Metazoa; Chordata; Mammalia; Carnivora; Felidae
Exons: 2
Source: RefSeq, a predicted model, not a curated record